GGAGGAGACAGAGCAGCCCGGUGCGGUAAGCUGGCCUUGUAGCUGCCUGCCAGGCCUUGCGCUCACCCCAGACUGCCAGAGAGUCCAGACUGGCCCCAAGUGAUAAGGCCCUAGGCUGGGACGCGGCCACUGCAAUGGAAAAGCAGGAGGAACAGGAGAACUUGGAAACUAAUUUGAUACGGGGAUGAGGGAGAGAAAGGAGCCCAAGAUGACCUCUAAAGAUCCCUGGAGAACGGGGACAGGUGCCGGAGCGCAAGCCCAGCAGAGGCCUCAGCCCAGUGCCAAGUUAGUUUGCUCUAUUGUUUCAAUAGUCUGUCUUCACUCCCGUCUUCAGAAAGCGUUUCCCCGUCUUCCAGUUUUUCAUCUAUUCAGGCUUACAUUCAGCUCCUAAUCUUCUACCGCUCAGCUCUUAACUUAAGCUGAGUCCAGACAGGAUCAGUACAAACAGGGGCACCGCCUGGGUCAGACUCUCCCUCGGAACCCCUGCAGAGCACUUAGCUGCACUCAGAACCUCCCUGACUUCAAUUCCCUCACUACAAGCAGUUGUAUAAUUUCCAGGACAGCUGCAGAGGAGCCAAGGACAUAAUAAGCACCGGAAAGCGUCUGGUAGCAGGCCUCAGUGGCAGAUGAGCUUGGAACUUCUGACAGUGCUUGGAGACAAGUGGCCUCUAACGCCUGCAUUGUGGUUCUCUUAAGAGGCCUGGGCUUCACUGUGUGUAGAGGAAGACGGGAGGCUUUGGUGAUUUCUCACAACUUUAUUUUUUUCUUCUGUGUCGUUAUUGAAUGGCUGUGGAAGCGCCUGCCAGUGUGGUCUCAGGCUGAGGAUGUAGCUGAGUGGUUGAGUGUGGGCCUAACAAGUGUGAGGGCCUGGGUUGGCUCCCGGCACUCCAGGAAAAAGGAAAGACAUACUUCGGUUUCCAUUGUACCGGUUCUUUGAUUCUGGAAAAGGACAACAAAGGCUUGUGACAUAAAA
RNAcentral lists this long non-coding RNA (973 nucleotides) under Mus musculus (house mouse). RNAcentral's name for it is "RIKEN cDNA A330094K24 gene". Lineage: Eukaryota; Metazoa; Chordata; Mammalia; Rodentia; Muridae. The record is from RNAcentral.